This 779-nucleotide ribosomal RNA is filed under the name uncultured bacterium. Its description in RNAcentral is "bacterial SSU rRNA". It matches the Rfam family "Bacterial small subunit ribosomal RNA", at positions 59 to 835 of the family's 1533-position model. The record is from RNAcentral.
CAGUCGAACGAAGCACUUUAUUUGAUUUCCUUCGGGACUGAUUAUUUUGCCGAUUGAGUGGCGGACGGGUGAGUAACGCGUGGGUAACCUGCCUUGUACAGGGGGAUAACAGUUGGAAACGGCUGCUAAUACCGCAUAAGCGCACAGCAUCGCGUGAUGCAGUGUGAAAAACUCCGGUGGUAUAAGAUGGACCCGCGUUGGAUUAGCUAGUUGGUGAGGUAACGGCCCACCAAGGCGACGAUCCAUAGCCGACCUGAGAGGGUGACCGGCCACAUUGGGACUGAGACACGGCCCAAACUCCUACGGGAGGCAGCAGUGGGGAAUAUUGCACAAUGGAGGAAACUCUGAUGCAGCGACGCCGCGUGAGUGAAGAAGUAAUUCGUUAUGUAAAGCUCUAUCAGCAGGGAAGAUAGUGACGGUACCUGACUAAGAAGCUCCGGCUAAAUACGUGCCAGCAGCCGCGGUAAUACGUAUGGAGCAAGCGUUAUCCGGAUUUACUGGGUGUAAAGGGAGUGUAGGUGGCCAUGCAAGUCAGAAGUGAAAAUCCGGGGCUCAACCCCGGAACUGCUUUUGAAACUGUAAGGCUGGAGUGCAGGAGGGGUGAGUGGAAUUCCUAGUGUAGCGGUGAAAUGCGUAGAUAUUAGGAGGAACACCAGUGGCGAAGGCGGCUCACUGGACUGUAACUGACACUGAGGCUCGAAAGCGUGGGGAGCAAACAGGAUUAGAUACCCUGGUAGUCCACGCCGUANACGAUGAAUACUAGGUGUCGGGGCCNAAAA